AGAUCGAUGAUGACUCCCUCAUAUGCAUUCCUUGGAAAAGCUGAACAAAAUGAGUGAGAACUCCUACCGUCUUUCUCAUCGAAUCUGAGGUCC
RNAcentral lists this small nucleolar RNA (93 nucleotides) under Rhinolophus ferrumequinum (greater horseshoe bat). RNAcentral's name for it is "Small nucleolar RNA SNORD116 (ENSRFEG00010013565.1)". It matches the Rfam family "Small nucleolar RNA SNORD116". From Rfam's summary of the family: HBII-85 is a member of the C/D class of snoRNAs, which contain the C (UGAUGA) and D (CUGA) box motifs. HBII-85 is encoded in a tandemly repeated array with another C/D snoRNA, HBII-52, in the Prader-Willi syndrome (PWS) region of chromosome 15. Lineage: Eukaryota; Metazoa; Chordata; Mammalia; Chiroptera; Rhinolophidae. The record is from Rfam by way of RNAcentral.